This 193-nucleotide microRNA precursor is filed under the name Oryza glumipatula. RNAcentral describes it as "MIR812 microRNA precursor family". It matches the Rfam family "MIR812 microRNA precursor family". The record is from Rfam by way of RNAcentral. Lineage: Eukaryota; Viridiplantae; Streptophyta; Magnoliopsida; Poales; Poaceae.
AAUAAGUGCAGUUUUACAUUAUUCAUCUUCAACGUUUAACCGUUCGUUUUAUUUGAAAUUUUUUUUAUGAUUACUAUUUUUAUUUUUAUUGUUAUUAGAUGAUAAAACAUAAAUAGUAUAGUAAAUUUCAUAAAUUUUUUAAAUAAGACAGACGGUCCAACAUUGCACGUGGAUUUUUACGGCUGCACUUAUU